UACGUAGGGGGCAAGCGUUAUCCGGAUUUACUGGGUGUAAAGGGGGCGCAGACGGCGAUGCAAGCCAGGAGUGAAAGCCCGGGGCCCAACCCCGGGACUGCUCUUGGAACUGCGUGGCUGGAGUGCAGGAGGGGCAGGCGGAAUUCCUGGUGUAGCGGUGAAAUGCGUAGAUAUCAGGAGGAACACAGGUGGCGAAGGCGGCCUGCUGGACUGCAACUGACGUUGAGGCCCGAAAGCGUGGGGAGCAAACAGG
RNAcentral lists this ribosomal RNA (253 nucleotides) under uncultured bacterium. RNAcentral describes it as "partial 16S ribosomal RNA". It matches the Rfam family "Bacterial small subunit ribosomal RNA", at positions 524 to 776 of the family's 1533-position model. The record is from RNAcentral.